CAAUAGCGUAUAUUAAAGUUGUUGCAGUUAAAAAGCUCGUAGUUGGAUUUCUGCUGAGGACGAUCGGUCCGCCCACUGGGUGAGUAUCUGGCUCGGCCUUGGCAUCUUCUUGGAGAACGUUGCUGCACUUGACUGUGUGGCGCGGUAUCCAGGACUUUUACUUUGAGGAAAUUAGAGUGUUUCAAGCAGGCGCACGCCUUGAAUACAUUAGCAUGGAAUAAUGAGAUAGGACCUUGGUUCUAUUUUGUUGGUUUCUAGAGCUGAGGUAAUGAUUAAUAGGGAUAGUUGGGGGCAUUCGUAUUUAACUGUCAGAGGUGAAAUUCUUGGAUUUGUUAAAGAUGGACUACUGCGAAAGCAUUUGCCAAGGAUGUUUUCAUUGA
RNAcentral lists this ribosomal RNA (380 nucleotides) under uncultured eukaryote. Its description in RNAcentral is "partial 18S ribosomal RNA". It matches the Rfam family "Eukaryotic small subunit ribosomal RNA", at positions 592 to 976 of the family's 1831-position model. The record is from RNAcentral.